CAAUAGCGUAUAUUAAAGUUGUUGCAGUUAAAAAGCUCGUAGUUGGACCUUGGACCUGGACAGGCGGUCCGCCUCAAGGCGUGUACUGUCUUGCUGGGUCUUUCCUCUUGGUGAUCUGUUGUUUCGGCAGCAGGGAACCAGGACUUUUACUUUGAAAAAAUUAGAGUGUUCAAAGCAGGCUCGACGCCGGAAUAUAUUAGCAUGGAAUAAUAAAAUAGGACGUGCGGUUCUAUUUUGUUGGUUUUUGGAAUCGCCGUAAUGAUUAAUAGGGACAGUCGGGGGCAUUAGUACUCACAUGCUAGAGGUGAAAUUCUUGGAUUUUGUGAAGACUAACUUCUGCGAAAGCAUUUGCCAAGGAUGUUUUCAUUAA
This 370-nucleotide ribosomal RNA is filed under the name uncultured eukaryote. RNAcentral's name for it is "partial 18S ribosomal RNA". It matches the Rfam family "Eukaryotic small subunit ribosomal RNA", at positions 592 to 976 of the family's 1831-position model. The record is from RNAcentral.